CGACCCGGUGACGCCCGACGCCAAAGACCAAAGGACCGGGGAAAGAACCGAACCCACCCCCGCCGCCCCCGGCUGUCACCCGCCGGAGUGAAUAUGCCCAACGCAACUGGCGCGGCGAGGCAGUUGUGGUGCAACGUCAGCCGCGACAACCGCAGACAUGAAUCGGCCCCCGGCGGGACUGGCAUCCCGUGCGAGGGCCUGAUCACCAAGGAAGAAGCACCUUCCCC
Molecule: non-coding RNA, 227 nt
Filed under: Streptomyces collinus Tu 365
Lineage: Bacteria; Bacillati; Actinomycetota; Actinomycetes; Kitasatosporales; Streptomycetaceae
Description: Streptomyces sRNA 4677
Rfam family: Streptomyces sRNA 4677
About the family: Located in the intergenic region between anti-sigma factor SCO4677 gene and a putative regulatory protein gene SCO4676. scr4677 expression requires the SCO4677 activity and scr4677 sRNA itself seem to affect the levels of the SCO4676-associated transcripts.
Source: Rfam by way of RNAcentral